ACACCGGUCUUGUAAAUCGAAAACUGAAGAUGUAAAACNCUUCCUAAAGAUUAAAACCUUCUCUGAGUU
RNAcentral lists this transfer RNA (69 nucleotides) under Salamandra lanzai (Lanza's fire salamander). RNAcentral describes it as "tRNA-Thr". Lineage: Eukaryota; Metazoa; Chordata; Amphibia; Caudata; Salamandridae. The record is from RNAcentral.